GACGAACGCUGGCGGCGUGCCUAAUACAUGCAAGUCGAGCGGAUCUUCAUUAGCUUGCUUUUGAAGAUCAGCGGCGGACGGGUGAGUAACACGUGGGCAACCUGCCUGUAAGACUGGGAUAACUUCGGGAAACCGGAGCUAAUACCGGAUAAUCCUUUCCCUCACAUGAGGGAAAGCUGAAAGACGGUUUCGGCUGUCACUUACAGAUGGGCCCGCGGCGCAUUAGCUAGUUGGUGAGGUAACGGCUCACCAAGGCAACGAUGCGUAGCCGACCUGAGAGGGUGAUCGGCCACACUGGGACUGAGACACGGCCCAGACUCCUACGGGAGGCAGCAGUAGGGAAUCUUCCGCAAUGGACGAAAGUCUGACGGAGCAACGCCGCGUGAACGAUGAAGGCCUUCGGGUCGUAAAGUUCUGUUGUCAGGGAAGAACAAGUAUCGGAGUAACUGCCGGUACCUUGACGGUACCUGACCAGAAAGCCACGGCUAACUACGUGCCAGCCGCCGCCGUAACAC
RNAcentral lists this ribosomal RNA (515 nucleotides) under uncultured bacterium. RNAcentral describes it as "bacterial SSU rRNA". It matches the Rfam family "Bacterial small subunit ribosomal RNA", at positions 28 to 526 of the family's 1533-position model. The record is from RNAcentral.